This 386-nucleotide ribosomal RNA is filed under the name uncultured bacterium. RNAcentral describes it as "bacterial SSU rRNA". It matches the Rfam family "Bacterial small subunit ribosomal RNA", at positions 28 to 425 of the family's 1533-position model. The record is from RNAcentral.
GACAAACGCUGGCGGCGUACCUAAGACAUGCAAGUCGAACGGGGCUCACCGCUUCGGCGGGGAGUCGAGUGGCGGACGGGUGAGUAACGCGUAGGAACCUGUCGAGCAGUGGGGGAGUAACGCUGGGAAACCGGCGCUAAUACCGCAUGUGAUCUGGAGACCGAAGAAAGCAGCAAUGCGCUGUUUGAGGGGCCUGCGUCCGAUUAGCUUGUUGGUGGGGUAAGGGCCUACCAAGGCANCGAUCGGUAGCUGGUCUGAGAGGAUGGUCAGCCACACUGGGACUGAGACACGGCCCAGACUCCUACGGGAGGCAGCAGUUAGGAAAUUUUUCCAAUGGGGAAACCCUGAGAGAGUAACGCCGCGUGGAGGAUGACGGCCUUCGGUUG